Drosophila suzukii is the source of this 508-nucleotide non-coding RNA. Lineage: Eukaryota; Metazoa; Arthropoda; Insecta; Diptera; Drosophilidae. The record is from RefSeq and is a predicted model, not a curated record.
CGCACCAUAUCGGGCUUAAUAGCCGCCUAACAAGACAAAAGACUAAUAAGUAAACCACCACAAAGCUAUUUCCAAACGCCCAAAGUGGCUGGCGUAAUUUAGCUGGCACCGAUCGCAACAUCCAACUUAUAGUUGAAAAACUAAUUAGGAGUGCGCAGCGCUAUUUGAUCAAAUCGCCUGGUGCUCGUUUUGGCCCACUCUGGCUGCCAACACGUGGAGCGGGACUACUCGAGCCGAGCCACAUACAGUUUACCAGUGCAAAUUUAAGUUUCGAGCCAAGCUUUCCAACCGUUGUAAGACGAAGGAAAACUUAAGAUUGAUACACGUGUUGUUCGCCAUAUUCUCCUGACCAGUUGCGAGUAACCUAACCCCGGACUAAUGGUUAGCCAUCGACACGUCCAACACGAGCGUAUCGCGGAUAAGCAGACACCCGGGACUCUUGUUCUAGCUGUUGAAUCUGCCGCCUCGCAGCUAAGGAUUCACUCCCGAUCUCGGCAGCCGAUCUGAC